Long non-coding RNA from Patella vulgata (common limpet), 372 nucleotides. RefSeq lists it as uncharacterized. The record is from RefSeq and is a predicted model, not a curated record. The transcript is spliced from 2 exons. Lineage: Eukaryota; Metazoa; Mollusca; Gastropoda; Patellidae.
UGUAUCCUUCAGAAAUGAACAGAACAAAGUCGUUAGAUAAUUAACACUGUAUAUUUAUGGCGAAUAUGUUGCUAUAUUUGACAUAUAUAAGAAUAACAGACCUGUUUAUAUUUAUGUUUAUAUAUAUAUAUAUAUAAGUAAAUGUCUAAAGAGAAUUUGAUACUCGAUGAUGCAGAACCAAAAAUGGUUUAGUUCCAGAUACAUGUAAAUUACAGGAGUCUGUGUUACAUGUGAUGUGCCAGAUUCUUCUCCAUCUCCAUUGUAUAUCGAUAAAUACAAAAGCUGUGAGCCACAUCAGAAAAUAAGAUUCCUGAAAUACCAAUAAAGGUGGUGCCACUCGGUUUUAUUUCUACAAUAAACUAUCUUUUUCUU